CUCCUCCAGUGCCCACCAUCUCUAACACCAGAGCCCACCAAAUCCAUCAACACCGUUUUUCCUUUGCUGUUGUCCACCGUUCUUCAAAAUCCCUUCCUGCCGAACUUCUCUCGAUUUCAAAUGGUAAGCAUUCCUUAAAUAUGAACCCGACGUUUUGUCUUUUGAGGCAACGUAUUCUCCUCUACCGCCUGUUUCUUUCCCUCCACCUCUCCUUUUGCGAGUGCGAUAUUUCGGACAAUAAAUUCUCAUUUCUCGAUGCUCCUACCUAUUGAGAAAUAAAGGCGCAAUUGAUAGGUUCUUAGCUUUUGCCGCCGAUGGGGAAAUCGAGGCGGUUGCCCCUGUGGACAUCGAUGGCAUGACUUCUACAAUUAUGUUAUUUGGAAUGGAGCUUUCAGAUUUUAGUGCGAAUCUACUAUGAAAACAACAAUAUCAAAGGCUACCAUUUCUGUAUGGGUAAGAAUUUUAUAGCGUUGGAAUUCAAGCACACCUAUUUUAAAGCCCUGGAAUUGAAUUUUAGCUUUGAUAAAAGUUCAAACCACAAAGCACAUGUAUUAUUAGAACUACCACACCUGAACAUUUUCACAAGGGAGAUUGGUUUUGUAGGGGCUACUGCAAUAGAUGUAUUUAAACUAGACCAUUCGAAAUGUUGAGUUAGACGAAUUUGAGAUAUGAUGGGCAACCAGGAGUGUACCUAGCAUUCCAGCCAUUUGGCCAAAGGUAUGAGAUGGCCAGUGGAUACUCACAAGACAAGUUUCCAUUUCAACACAAGCCUAACUUCAAGGGGUAACUAUGGUACAGAUACUGCCACAGGGUCAAAGAGAAGCCUGCCACCAUCUUGAAGAAAGUAUGGAAGAGGAAAAAUCCUUCGAGUGGUUAGAAUGCAGUGCAAGUAGGCGGCAAGGUUGACAAUUUUUCCAGUAGCCCUUAAAACUUAAAAGACUUGAUUUUAAUCUGAGAGUCAAUGGCAUAUGAUGCUGGAAACUGGUGUUGGAAACACUAGGUGGACAAUAAACUGACAGGUGUAUUCAACGGAAGUCUGUAAUUGUUGAUAUUCAAGAUACCUGUUUUAAAUUGAUUGUUUGUGACUUACUAUAAAUGGGUUGGCUUAGCUUACAAAUGCUAGACAUCUUGCUCUCUUUCGAAAUACACGUUUUGAGGAUAUCAGGGUUCUUAAGUUUAAAAGGGAUACCAGUUGCAAGAUGUGUAAUCCUUAAAAUCGGGAGCCCUUGUGGACUUCGAUCUCCAGGCUGUAGCUAUGGGAUAUAUGUUCAUCUUCAUAUUGUGUUCCCGCAGGUAUGGAUGGAAGACUUGUUGGAUGGAUGUCUAGUUUCUUUAUGACAUAAGAUCCUCUAUGCUCAAAAGAGAUUGUUUGAAACUUUUUUUUUUUGAUCAGCGAGAUUGUGUGAAACUUUAGUAACGCUAUAUUAAACAUAACACAUUAUUCAUGCACUCUAAUUUCUGUACCUUUCUCAUGUCAACAUAGAAAGGUAUGCACAGGCCAUUAUAUGAUUGAAGUUAUUACAAUUUUUUUCAAUCGUUGGAUGGGGAAUCAAGAACCUCUCACAUGACGAUCCCUCGGACGAUUCCUAAUGUGAUAUGUAA
Long non-coding RNA from Rhododendron vialii, 1602 nucleotides. RefSeq lists it as uncharacterized. The transcript is spliced from 5 exons. The record is from RefSeq and is a predicted model, not a curated record. NCBI's taxonomy places the organism in Eukaryota, Viridiplantae, Streptophyta, Magnoliopsida, Ericales, Ericaceae.